Molecule: long non-coding RNA, 891 nt
Organism: Mytilus californianus (California mussel)
Lineage: Eukaryota; Metazoa; Mollusca; Bivalvia; Mytilida; Mytilidae
Exons: 4
Source: RefSeq, a predicted model, not a curated record
CUCCUUUUUAAAGAUUUUGGUGGUCCUUAAAAGGACCGUUAAUUUUGUCUGUAUCUUUUUCAGCAGUAGAUGAAUGCAGCUAUAUCUUCCUUGAUUUUGGAACUUUUGAAGAACAGCUUCUGGUUGGUUAACUUGUUUGGACCCAAGUACAUGGAUCUCCUAUGAGCCACCAACAGUUUGAGUGUCCACCACCACACACGUAUGAACUAGUGGGACAUUUAGAGCAGUCACAAGUAUAACAACGCACAGUAGCAUUAAGCAUUCAGGCAAAUCCAGGAUUUCCCUCGACAUUUGUUAAACUGUAGGAGGUGCCGUCUUGACUGGUUUUAGCUACAACAGUAGAUGAAUGCAGCUAUAUCUUCCUUGAUUUUGGAACUUUUGAAGAACAGCUUCUGGUUGGUUAACUUGUUUGGACCCAAGUACAUGGAUCUCCUAUGAGCCACCAACAGUUUGAGUGUCCACCACCACACACGUAUGAACUAGUGGGACAUUUAGAGCAGUCACAAGUAUAACAACGCACAGUAGCAUUAAGCAUUCAGGCAAAUCCAGGAUUUCCCUCGACAUUUGUUAAACUGUAGGAGGUGCCGUCUUGACUGGUUUUAGCUACAAGUGAGAACUUCUCUGCAUCUAGCCUUUUCCAUUGUAUAUAAAAUGAACUUAGCUGACUGUUUGAAGACUAAGUCUCAUGAUUUAUACCCUUGUUAUGGGGUAUGCUUCUUUGCAUAUGUAAUUCUUAUAAGAUUUUUUUUUUUAAUUAAAAAAAUAAUUAUUAUUAAUUUUUUUUCAGCAGAAUUUCUUUUUUAACUAGAUUUCCAUAUCAAAAAUGAAUUUAUCUACCAUGUGCAAUUUACAGAAUGUAAAUAUCUUUUAAAAUAAAAAAGUUUUGCUGAU